Non-coding RNA from Nothobranchius furzeri (turquoise killifish), 4832 nucleotides. NCBI's taxonomy places the organism in Eukaryota, Metazoa, Chordata, Actinopteri, Cyprinodontiformes, Nothobranchiidae. The record is from RefSeq and is a predicted model, not a curated record.
GGACCCUGUCUGAGGAGAACCCCAGAAUCUCAUAUCCUCUUCAGCUCAGAAAACAUAUGAUUAUGCACAAGCGUGCCUGUUCAGGUUUGCACAGACAAUCUUUACAUUUAGAAUUGGCAUACAGACAUAAAAUUAAUGCAGUAAAAUAUAAAGCAUUUCAUUUAAACAUUCAUUCAUUAUUUUACAACCACAGAGAGCCGCAUCAGAUGGGUGCAGAGCCGCGGGGUGCCGUCCCCCUUACAUUCAGACACUCCCCUCACGCAGGUCCCCUUUUAUUCAGUUACCCCCUCUCCUCUAGUGCUAUUUAGAGAUCCUUUCCAAAGACAAGAGAGGCAAAAUGAGUUUUGAUCUGAAAAACAUACUUUUGCUGAAAUCAACGCUUGAAUUACGUAAUGAUGAGAACGGCUUAACCUCGCAUCAGAUUUUUCAUGAACGUUUAAAGGAGCAAGUUACGGGGACAAGGCCAUUCAUCCGUUAUAUGUUGAAUAGUAACGGCGAUUUUAUUCCUGUGGUACAACCAUUGUUAUGCAUGGAUUUUGAAGAACCGAUGGACACAACUUAAAAAAUACAACGCCGCACCCCCCCCCCCCCCCCCCCCACCACCACACAAACAGAUAAUAGUAUUAGAUUCCACUGUGAUGUUUUAGAAAAGGUAGGAAUUGUAUUCAGUCUCACCGUCCAAUAGCACCAUUUCCAUUCAAGAUUUUGUUUUAAAAAGACCGUAUAACUGUAAUGGGAAAAACCGUCUCGGAUCUCUUUCUCAGAAACACACCGUGAUGUCUGGUAAGUGGAAGAAUUUACUCAAACUCCACUUUUCAUUGUUUUAUCAAUCUACUGACUUCACGUCUAUUUUUAUCCGCAAUUGUUUUAUCGUCGGAUGAGGGUGAAUGGGAUGGCAAGAUACCUCUUUCUCAAUUAGAACACGAACGCGAGACAUCACCACUGCCACCAACCCCGCAAGAUGCAUUUAGUCAACUCAACAGAGCUUUGAACAAACUUAGUAAGUGAUUUUUGUACGUAAUUUAGUAACAUGAUAUAUCCCUUUCAGCUAAGAAAUAUCUUAUUUCUCCAGAUUGACAGGGCGGGAACAGAGACAAUCAGGAACGCCCCUCGCAGCGAUACGCCGAAAGUCAGGACUUUACCCCACCCACACCUCAACAUGGCUGUGACGAGGGGGUGGCGUCACAGCCAGAACAGCCACCGAAUUAUGUCGGAGGAGGAAUCAGCGGCUGACUCGGCUGCAAAGGACUAACAGAAUGAAAAUGGUCUACAUGCUUCUGCAGAUUACCUACGGGCUUGUGAACAUCGUGGGCAAUGUUCUGUCUCUGUGAGGAUUAAAAGAGAGAGAGAGAAGAGGAGGACCAAGGAUUUUUUGUCAUUCAUCAAGUUUAUAGUAGUUUUUAAAAUUUAUUUUUCUCUUUGUAUCAUGAGUCAUACGUCUGGAUACAGUGAUGUGUUACCGGAUUGGUUCGAUCUGAGUGGACUUUCAGAAAUGAUUGAAGUAGAUGAUGAUGAAUUUUCUUCUAAUAAUGAGAUUUUAGAUAGAUUUCUAGCCUGCCAAACUCCUCCUCCUUCAGAUGAGGCAGAAGAAAUUCUAUUAGGUGGGGGGGUGCUUGUGCACCUGCCCCUUUUGUCCGAAGUGCCCAAAGUGCCCUUUUUUCGGUCUUCCGUCAGAUUUUACCAUCCAAAGCUGUCAUACUUGGAUACAGGUUAGGCACUAGGACCAUGUGGAGGCAGCCUCCUCAAGCUGAACCCUUAGACCCGCCCACAAGCUCACUGAUUAAUUCUGCUGCGUCAUGCCAAUGUGUGAUUGGCUGUCCUUGCUGUCGCUCUAAAUCUGUCGCCAUGGAGACAACUGAAACCGGUGUUUCGCUUGACAACAGGGGUCUGCGCUCAUCUAGCUGAGUUUUAUAUUCUGCCUGCAUCACGUCAGCUGGAUGGAUUUUAAUAUCAGAGCUUUUGUUUACAUUAACAUUUAAGUCCGUGGUUAGUGUGUGUGGAGCAGAGUCAGCAUGUCUGAGACAGAAAAGAGGACACUAGAGAUUCUCCGCGUGAUAACUUCUGAAUAAAUUAUCGAAUAAAAAUAAUUCCAACGGUUUCUAAAAGCACAUAAAACGAGCUUUCCAACGACGUAUUACAUGAUGUAAUUCAUUUUAUUAGGAAAAUCGCUAUUAGAGGGAAACCAGCUUUUCAGCAUCACAGGAAACGGAGCAAACCGCGACGGGAGAGUGGACAAUGGAACGGAGGAGAUAACUGAUCAUCUGCAUAAGCAGCUUUUAUAAAGUUAUGGAAAGGUCUCAAGAGAAAAUCCACCUUAAUCAGGUGUCCCAGAAGUUUCUGGUGACAUGAGGGGCUGAUUACUGUCAAACUUUUAUCAACUAUUUACUAAAUGUAAGAUUCAGCUUAAUUCCAGCAUUAUUUAUACGUACAAUAAAUAUUUUUUAGCAGAAAAAAAUAAUUUUAUAUCUGGGCAGAAUUUUAUUAGUUGACUUUUUGCCAUGAAAUGUUUAGAUUUCACCUUUUAUUAUUACUUUUUAACUGGCUUAUCAAUAAUUAUAGAAAUAAUGGUAGAAAUUUCCAUACAGUUGUGAUGUGUGAGAGUUUUUUUUAUGUUACCUAAUAUUUAUUUUACUUCAUGCCGUUCUCUGAACCAGAGCAUAGACCUACCUGUGGUCACAGACAGGCUGCAGUCAGAAAUUUAAAACAUAAAAAAAGUCUAAACCGAUAAACACGGGGCAGGGUUCACACUGUUUUCUGACUGUAAUGAUGUUCAGAGUUUAAACUGUUCAUUUGAAAUAGUUUGACCAAGUCCUUUUGAGGUUCCUAUUUAGUAAUAAAUGUAAAGAAUUCAAAUCUUUUUUUUUUGUUUCAUUUAAGCACUGUUUUUACAGACUUGGAUAAACAUAAAUACUAAAUACAAACCAGACACUGAAAGCUGAGGUUGUUCUGAAAAAAAGAGCAGAGUUACAAACAUUUAGCACUUUUUGGUACUAUUUCACAGCCAGGAAAAAAAAAUACAUGUUAUAUUUAUGGUAAUAAGAGGGUUAAACAUGUCAUAAAUGUUCUGCCGCCCACGAAGAUGGUAAAAGUGAAUGUGAGCAUAACUCUAUAUGUUUUAUUACUUAAUUAUGUUUUUUUAUUGUUGACUAUUAUGUUAUUAUUAUAACACUAGAAAUAAAUAAUGAGGUAAAUAUUCUGGAUCAGCACCAUGAAGCAAAGUUAUGGCCAUAGUAUGUGCAGUAUUCUGGAAAUGGUAUGAAAGGAUAGUGUGUGUGUGUGUGUGUGUGUGAGUGCGUGUGUGUGUGUGUGUGUGGCCUGCUGUAAAGAGUGUUGUUAAGUUGGUAGCAGAGCUCUCAUGUUUAAUGUUAAGUUCAGAGUGAGAUAAUGGAAUUGGAUCAGGAAUUUCCUACAGACAGGAAAAGAUCUCAGCUACCACAGCUGUAGAUCAUGCUGGAUAACUUCCUGUGGUUGCAUUUAUUUUACUUAUUUUAUUUUAUUCAUAUUUUACCACCUCUUACAUGAGCUGUCUCUAGUCAAUUUCAAAUACAAAUACAGAUAGAAUGACAAUUUGGGACCAGCUCAGUGGCUUUGUGGUAGUGUCCUCCCUGGGACUGUGAGAUCAGGUUUGAUUCCCGGUUGGGUCAUACCAAAGACUUUAAAAAUGGGUCCCAAUGCCUCCCUGCUUGACACUCAGCUUUAAGGGGUUGGAUUGGGGGUAAAACCACCAAAUAGUUCCCGAGCACAGCCAAUGCUGCAUCUCACCACUGCCCUCCAAAGAGAUCACCAGUAUGUGAUGAUGACUAUGGGACUUUCUCCAGUUUUUACUUCUUUUUAAUGCAUUGCAUCACCAUCUGGUAUCAAAACAGGAUUCAGUAUUGGAAGAAAAUCAAAAAUCAAACAACUUGGAUUCAGAUCAGGGGCAAAAAUAUGGUUGUAACAUAAGUCAGCUUUAAAAACUAAAACAACUGUUUAUGAAAUAACGUUACCUUAAUGACAUAUUUUUCCUAGUUUACAUUAUGUUGUUUGAAACCAAGGGUCUCAUUAUCUGAAAUUUUUAACUUGUUGGAUCGUGAAUCUGUUAAAAAACUUUGCUCUAUAUGUGCCCUUUUUUUAACUUUGAGCACCCGCCCCUUCAAAGGUCUCUGCACGGCUCUGUUCAAAUGAUGAGAUUUUAGAACAAAUUCUAGCCAAACUCCUCCUCCUUCAGAUGAGGCCGAACAAAUUCUAUUAAAUACAGAUACGCCAUCUCAUCUUACUUUAGAUGAAAUUCGGAGGCAAAUAGAACAAUCAUACGAUGUUAGCCAACAGGGGGAGGGAGCGUUAAUGUUGCGUCCUCUUCCAAUGAUGCUUUUAAUCAGCGUGCAAUUAGAGAAAGCGUCUCUUUUUCAAUAAACCACGGAAUCAUAGACCCUGCAGAGUUUUAUCUCAACGUUAUGGAUAUAUUAAAUAGAUUUAGUGAAAGGGAAAAUCAGAUCGCUCGCGCAAAUGAUAGGAUUCAGUUCAAAAUCAACACUCAGCAUUCAACUCACCACGUUAACUUUAAUUAUGACGGUGCAAAUAUGAUGCAAAAUUUUCAAUAAUUAUUCGACAAAUUAGUCCAAUCGAAUGAAGCGCUGGCGGUUGACAGUGAUUUUAAUUUCAGACUGCAGGUGGUGAACAACCAUCUGGUGCUGGGAAACGAAAAAUUAAGAGUAUUCUUUAUCAGGAAUUAGUGGAUAAAAAGCGGAUUCAUCUCAUUUCACUCCCCGAGAGCGAUCAGGCCUUGUGUUUCGUGCUCAGCUUAGCCGGGCUGUCAAACCCUGCAGCGACAGAUACGGAGUUAAUGGAUGUGG